Molecule: non-coding RNA, 543 nt
Organism: Pelobates cultripes (western spadefoot toad)
Lineage: Eukaryota; Metazoa; Chordata; Amphibia; Anura; Pelobatidae
Source: the annotation of a GenBank genome assembly
UUCCAUCAAUGCAGCUGAAUUUGAUAUUUAUAGUCUGCUGUAAACAUGACACGUAAGAAAAAAUCUGAUAUAACCUGUAGGUGCAAAUAUAUACUUAAACUUUAGCUCAAUCACAGCGUAAAGGUAAAGUUUUUUGUUCUGUAUGUGCCACAUUUUGCCUCCAUUUCUUUUUUUGUUACUAAAUUGCUUACAGUACAAUAAACAGAAAAUGAUCCCUAGAGGUCUGUUUGUACACAGUUGCAAGUUGAUAAAAUGUAGGCUGUGAUAUCCAAUUUAUUCUCCAAUUCAAUUAAGUUUGAGAUAUGUGUUGCAUAUCUCUCUAAGUGUACAGUUUAGUGAAUAUUCUGUUUUGCGUUUUUUUGUUUGUCUAUUUUCUGUUAGCUUGAGUACCAGGGUGUAACAGUAGGUGCAGAUCCUUUAUUGCUAGGAUGGUCAAAACGCUCACAUGUUAAUUCACUAAAAUAAGAAUUGUCAGAAAUUCUAAAUAAAUUUCAAAUUUAAUUCCAAAUUAGCCGAACUGGAAAAAUUCAGCAAUUAUUUAAC